CGAAGGGGGCUAGCGUUGUUCGGAAUUACUGGGCGUAAAGCGCGCGUAGGCGGUGAUCUUUGUCAGAGGUGAAAGCCCGGGGCUCAACUCCGGAAUUGCCUUUGAAACGGGAUUGCUAGAGUCCGAGAGAGGAUGGCGGAAUUCCUAGUGUAGAGGUGAAAUUCGUAGAUAUUAGGAAGAACACCGGUGGCGAAGGCGGCCAUCUGGCUCGGUACUGACGCUCAGGCGCGAAAGCGUGGGGAGCAAACAGGAUUAGAUACCCUGGUAGUCCACGCCGUAAACUAUGAAUGCUAGUUGUUAGGAAGUUUACUUCUUAGUGACGCAGCUAACGCGUUAAGCAUUCCGCCUGGGGAGUACGGUCGCAAGAUUA
Molecule: ribosomal RNA, 370 nt
Filed under: uncultured organism
Description: bacterial SSU rRNA
Rfam family: Bacterial small subunit ribosomal RNA
Source: RNAcentral